GAGAGGGCAGUGGCGCACCAGUCUCCAUGAAGGUUGAGCUCCGAUGGCCAACGGCCAUUUCCACCUUGUGGUCUACAACUCUUCAUCCCGACUGCAUGGAGGUUGGUCUCUCUCUUCAGCUGGAUUUAGGCCACCAUCUGAGCCCCCGGGGUACGUUUUGUCUGACCCUGGCGCCAUUCGAACGGUUCUUCUACAGCAUCAGUUCUCUUUCCUGCCACCAUGUGAAGAAGGACAUGUUUGCUUCCCCUUCUGCCAUGAAUGGACAGGGUCCUGCUGUGUUGCCCAGGCUGGCCUUGAACUCCUGGCUUCAAACAGUCUUCCCACUUGGGCUCCCAAAGUGCUGGGAUUAAAGGGGCGAGUUACAGCACCAGGACCUGAAAUUAGAGACAGGGUUUCACCGUGUUAGCCAGGAUGGUCUCCAUCUUCUGACCUCGUGAUCCGCCUGCCUCGGCCUCCCAAAGUGCUGGGAUUACCGGCGUGAGCCACCAUCACCCCCCAGCAAAAGUGACACCCCUGCUCCCCAUUCACCCUCCGCUAUCAGUAAAAGCUUCCUCAGACCUCACCAGAAGCUGGACAGAUAGAUGCUGGUGCCAAGCUUGUACAGACUGCAGAACCAUGGGCCAAAUAAACCUCUUUUCUUUAUAAA
This 646-nucleotide small RNA is filed under the name Homo sapiens (human). RNAcentral's name for it is "PPP1R3B divergent transcript (ENSG00000285236.3)". Lineage: Eukaryota; Metazoa; Chordata; Mammalia; Primates; Hominidae. The record is from RNAcentral.